GACGAACGCUGGCGGCGUGCUUAACACAUGCAAGUCGAACGGAAAGGCCCUGCUUUUGUGGGGUGCUCGAGUGGCGAACGGGUGAGUAACACGUGAGUAACCUGCCCUUGACUUUGGGAUAACUUCAGGAAACUGGGGCUAAUACCGGAUAGGAGCUCCUGCUGCAUGGUGGGGGUUGGAAAGUUUCGGCGGUUGGGGAUGGACUCGCGGCUUAUCAGCUUGUUGGUGGGGUAGUGGCUUACCAAGGCUUUGACGGGUAGCCGGCCUGAGAGGGUGACCGGCCACAUUGGGACUGAGAUACGGCCCAGACUCCUACGGGAGGCAGCAGUGGGGAAUAUUGCACAAUGGGCGGAAGCCUGAUGCAGCAACGCCGCGUGCGGGAUGACGGCCUUCGGGUUGUAAACCGCUUUCGCCUGUGACGAAGCGUGAGUGACGGUAAUGGGUAAAGAAGCACCGGGUAACUACGU
Molecule: ribosomal RNA, 467 nt
Filed under: uncultured bacterium
Lineage: Bacteria
Description: partial 16S ribosomal RNA
Rfam family: Bacterial small subunit ribosomal RNA
Source: RNAcentral